This is a transfer RNA of Ipomoea nil (Japanese morning glory), 74 nucleotides long. It matches the Rfam family "tRNA". Rfam says of the family: Transfer RNA (tRNA) molecules are approximately 80 nucleotides in length. The record is from Rfam. NCBI's taxonomy places the organism in Eukaryota, Viridiplantae, Streptophyta, Magnoliopsida, Solanales, Convolvulaceae.
GCUCUUGUAGCUCAGUUGGUUAGAGCACUCGUUUAGUAAGCGGGAGGUCUGGAGUUCAACUCUCAAUAAGAGUA